Small nucleolar RNA from Panicum virgatum (switchgrass), 105 nucleotides. NCBI's taxonomy places the organism in Eukaryota, Viridiplantae, Streptophyta, Magnoliopsida, Poales, Poaceae. The record is from RefSeq and is a predicted model, not a curated record.
GUGCCAUGGUGUGGGCAUACUGCAACGUACUCCUAGAGGUGUUCCCAGGCUUCCACUGGUUUCAUCCUGGAGUUGUUGAAAAUUAGAUAUCCUGUUACGCAGGGC